This 647-nucleotide unclassified non-coding RNA is filed under the name Hevea brasiliensis (rubber tree). Lineage: Eukaryota; Viridiplantae; Streptophyta; Magnoliopsida; Malpighiales; Euphorbiaceae. The record is from RNAcentral.
AAAGAUCAAGAAAAAUAUUUCUUCCUGCAACAAACAAAAACAAGAUUUACAAAAACUUCAAAACGAACACAAUUAAUUUCAAUAACCCAUUUAAGAAAUUCGAAUUUCUACAAUAGGGAUAUGAUUAAUCGCCAAGCAAAAUAGCAGAAUCACCGAGAAUGCAACUUGGGCUUCAAAAAGUACCGCUAACCACUAUGAAAAAAAUCCAUCUAAAAAAAAUUAUAGCCAAAUCAAACAAACAACAUGCUCUUCGCAGAUUUUCAAGGAAAAUGAAAAAGACUAUAACAUGAAAUUCCCAUAUUAUUUCUACCUGCAAACGAAAUCAAUGAAGAUGAAACAUGGGUUUCGAGAAUUUUAUUGAAACAAGGCAUCAGACAAUAACACAAAUCUUUUGACCACAAAAUAUUUCAAUAAAACUAAAAUUAAAGGAGAGAGAAAGCUAGCUUACAGAUCGUAGAAAGAAUUGUAUCGAGACGACUCCAGAGAAAGGAAGAGAAUUCAAGAUUUAAGCAAAAGGUUUACGUUUUGCAGCAGUUAGCAAGAAAAGAUUCUCAUUAACAUCUUCCUCUACACUCGAAAGAAUCUGGUCAAGGACUCCGCAAAAAGAAAGAAAAAUUAAGCUAUUUGGUCGUUUCUCCUAAUCCUAG